Molecule: long non-coding RNA, 328 nt
Organism: Notothenia coriiceps (black rockcod)
Lineage: Eukaryota; Metazoa; Chordata; Actinopteri; Perciformes; Nototheniidae
Exons: 4
Source: RefSeq, a predicted model, not a curated record
CAGCUGGCGUUUUGUCUUCUACCUCGCAUCCUUCACUGGGGGGCUCGCCUCUUUAAUUAAUACUUCCUGGUUCUGGGAUCCCAGCGAGUGUUGGAGAGAUUAUCCCAAACAGGCUGUGGCCGACGCUCAUUACUGGUAUUACAUGUUGGAAAUGAGCUUCUAUCUGUCGCUGCUUCUGUGCGUCUCUGUGGACGUCAAGAGAAAAGACUUUAAGGAGCAGGUCAUCCAUCACAUCGCCACCAUUUUACUCAUCGGUUUCUCCUACUGUGCAAACUUUGUGAGGGUGGGCACUCUGGUGAUGCUGCUGCACGACUCGUCCGACAUCAUC